This 454-nucleotide ribosomal RNA is filed under the name uncultured bacterium. RNAcentral describes it as "bacterial SSU rRNA". It matches the Rfam family "Bacterial small subunit ribosomal RNA", at positions 342 to 794 of the family's 1533-position model. The record is from RNAcentral.
UUGGAGGCAGCAGUGAGGAAUAUUGCACAAUGGGCGCAAGCCUGAUGCAGCGACGCCGCGUGGGGGAUGACGGCCUUCGGGUUGUAAACCUCUUUCACCAUCGGCGAAGCCCAUAGCUUUUGUUGUGGGUGACGGUAGGUGGAGAAGAAGCACCGGCCAACUACGUGCCAGCAGCCGCGGUAAUACGUAGGGUGCGAGCGUUGUCCGGAAUUACUGGGCGUAAAGAGCUCGUAGGUGGUUUGUCGCGUUGUCCGUGAAAUUCCCUGGCUUAACUGGGGGCGUGCGGGCGAUACGGGCAGACUGGAGUACCGCAGGGGAGACUGGAAUUCCUGGUGUAGCGGUGGAAUGCGCAGAUAUCAGGAGGAACACCGGUGGCGAAGGCGGGUCUCUGGGCAGUAACUGACGCUGAGGAGCGAAAGCGUGGGGAGCGAACAGGAUUAGAUACCCCGGUAGU